AAAAAAAGUGGAUUCAAUAACGAGACGGGUUGCAGAAAUCAUUACGGAGGCAGAGGUCAACAAUUGGACAGGAUCCAGUUGUGGAAAUUCUAGAAACAAGUAGAAUUUGGUAUUCCGUAAGUUCGUUAAAUGAGGAAUUAAUCAAGGACCAACAAUGUCUGCAAUUCUCGGCCCGUUUUUAGCUUCUGGAUGAAUAGGAACUUCCUUCCGAAACGCAGGCUCGAGAAGUUUUGACCCACGAACAACUAGUAAAGAAAGGAACAAGCCGAAACGACAGAGAAGACAGAGCAAUUGAAAAUGACUCAGAAAACAGUAAUAAAAUAACCACGUGUGACAAAACAUCCUGCAUGCCACAGGCAUCGAACCAAAUAGUAACAGUAUAGCCACCAGGCUAAACCAUAGUAUAUAAACCUUGCCAAAUAAGCACUCAAUACAUUUUUGUUAUAAAACUCUGAACUGUUACUCUG
This 467-nucleotide unclassified non-coding RNA is filed under the name Bombus terrestris (buff-tailed bumblebee). Its description in RNAcentral is "misc RNA ENSBTSG00005030707.1". Lineage: Eukaryota; Metazoa; Arthropoda; Insecta; Hymenoptera; Apidae. The record is from RNAcentral.